ACGUACAGGAAGUACGUUGCGGUGGCUGCGCUCCGUCCGCCUUGCCUGAGGCCUGCUCGCUACGCUUCCUCAGCC
This 75-nucleotide small RNA is filed under the name Curvibacter sp. GWA2_64_110. Its description in RNAcentral is "sX9 sRNA". It matches the Rfam family "Xanthomonas sRNA sX9". RNAcentral also lists the same sequence under 1 other name. The record is from RNAcentral. Lineage: Bacteria; Pseudomonadati; Pseudomonadota; Betaproteobacteria; Burkholderiales; Comamonadaceae.